Non-coding RNA from Cyanistes caeruleus (blue tit), 1221 nucleotides. The record is from RefSeq and is a predicted model, not a curated record. NCBI's taxonomy places the organism in Eukaryota, Metazoa, Chordata, Aves, Passeriformes, Paridae.
CCGCCCCGGCCCAGCGCCCCGCCCGCCCCGGCCCCUCACACGGGAUAGCGGGGAACGAGCUGGGAAAGGUUUUUUUCUCCCUACCUAAUACCUCAGCUAAAACUUCCUUGAGCUUAAUCCUCUUGAGGAAGCCAGAAGACAGAUCAGCUUCCCUGGAGGCCUCCCAAGGCUGAUCCCUGACAGGACUGGAGAACCAGGUGAGAGUCAGGGAACAGGGAAAGGACCAGACAGGAGGCUCAGAGUGGACAGCAGCAGGAAUUUCCCCAUGGAAAGGGAGCUCAGGCACUGGAACUGCCCAGGGAAGUUUGGAGUGCCCAUCCCUGGAGGUGCCCAAGGAAUUCCUGGAGGUGACACUGGGUGCUCUGGGUUGGGGACAAGGUGGGGAUCAGGACUGGACCUUGGAGGGCUUUUCCAGCUUAAAUCACUCCAGGGUUCUAUUACUUUAUUGACAUCUUGUUGCUCAGAUAUUUUCAUCGCUGUUCUGUUGUUUCUCUCCAUGCCUGAAUUAUCUCACAGAGUUUCUAUUUUGCCAUUUUGACUCCAAGAUUUUAAUGUUUCUCUGUGCUUUAUUCACUAGGAUAUGGAAAUGCAGGAUCCAGGAUGUUCUCUAGCCUCAGCACAGCAUCCCCUCUGCUCAGGGCCUCCCACUUUUGUGGAAUUAGAACUUUUGGAGAGGCUUUUAUUAGAAAUACAAACAAGGAAAUGUGGUUUUUUUUUUUUCCUCUCAGCCUCCACGUUUCACCUCAGAUUUUCUCCCUCAAAGCAUUAUAAAAAUAACAAGGGGCCAGAAGCCUUUCAACAAGUUUUGUGUUGAAAAACAACAAAAUAUCACAAAAUACAAAGCCCCAGGUGGUUUUGCAAAGCACAUGAGAAGAUUUCAGUGACCUAUGUGCAUGUUUUGAAUUUAAGUGUGAGCAAGAAGCACAGAACUUCUCCAACAGAGAAAAACUUCAGCCUUUAGGGUUUAUUUAUUUUAAAAAUGUGACAUCAAAGCAAUUCCUUCCACCAAUUAUGCUGGAUACAGUCACAGAGCCUCUGUGUGGCAGAUCAUAAUAAUUCCCUGAUCUCUUACAAAUAAAAAUUCCUAAUCCCCUGCUCAGCUUUUUCGUGAGUCAAUAAUCUCCUGCCUGGUUUUACAUCCAUGUAGAUUAUCUAAGGAGGAUCAGAGCUGCCAGGCUGGUUUGGGGUGGAAGGGAUCUUAAAUCCCAUCCAGUACCACCA